GAACACCUCUUGGAAACGGAUAUCUCAGCUCUCGUAUCGAUGAAGAAUGUAGCAAAAUGCGAUACUUGGUGUGAAUUGCAGAAUCCCGUGAACCAUGGAGUCUUUGAACGCAAGUUACCCCCAAAGCCAUUAGGCUGAGGUCUACCUGGGUGUCACGU
RNAcentral lists this ribosomal RNA (158 nucleotides) under Desmanthus acuminatus. Its description in RNAcentral is "5.8S ribosomal RNA". It matches the Rfam family "5.8S ribosomal RNA". Rfam says of the family: 5.8S ribosomal RNA (5.8S rRNA) is a component of the large subunit of the eukaryotic ribosome. It is transcribed by RNA polymerase I as part of the 45S precursor that also contains 18S and 28S rRNA. Lineage: Eukaryota; Viridiplantae; Streptophyta; Magnoliopsida; Fabales; Fabaceae. The record is from RNAcentral.